RNAcentral lists this ribosomal RNA (529 nucleotides) under uncultured Nitrososphaerota archaeon. RNAcentral's name for it is "bacterial SSU rRNA". It matches the Rfam family "Archaeal small subunit ribosomal RNA", at positions 452 to 981 of the family's 1478-position model. The record is from RNAcentral. Lineage: Archaea; Thermoproteati; Nitrososphaerota.
CUGGUGUCAGCCGCCGCGGUAAUACCAGCACCUCGAGUGGUCAGGACGUUUAUUGGGCCUAAAGCAUCCGUAGCCGGCUUUGCAAGUCUUCGGUUAAAUCCACCUGCUCAACAGAUGGGCUGCUGGAGAUACUACAGAGCUAGGGAGUGGGAGAGGCAGACGGUAUUCAGUGGGUAGGGGUAAAAUCCUCUGAUCCAUUGAGGACCACCAGUGGCGAAGGCGGUCUGCCAGAACACGUUCGACGGUGAGGGAUGAAAGCUGGGGGAGCAAACCGGAUUAGAUACCCGGGUAGUCCCAGCUGUAAACGAUGCAAACUCGGUGAUGCAUUGGCUUAUGGCCAAUGCAGUGCCGCAGGGAAGCCGUUAAGUUUGCCGCCUGGGAAGUACGGACGCAAGUCUGAAACUUAAAGGAAUUGGCGGGGGAGCACCACAAGGGGUGAAGCCUGCGGUUCAAUUGGAGUCAACGCCAGGAAUCUUACCCGGGGAGACAGCAGAAUGAAGGUCAAGCUGAAGACUUUACCAGACAAGCU